AUGAAACACUCCUACGGGAGGCAGCAGUGGGGAAUAUUGGACAAUGGGGGCAACCCUGAUCCAGCCAUGCCGCGUGAGUGAUGAAGGCCUUCGGGUUGUAAAGCUCUUUUGGCGGGGACGAUGAUGACGGUACCCGCAGAAUAAGCCCCGGCUAACUUCGUGCCAGCAGCCGCGGUAAGACGAAGGGGGCUAGCGUUGUUCGGAAUUACUGGGCGUAAAGCGCGUGUAGGCGGUUGUUCAAGUCGGGUGUGAAAGCCUUGAGCUCAACUCAAGAAAUGCACUCGGUACUGGAUGACUAGAGGACCGGAGAGGAUAGUGGAAUUCCCAGUGUAGUGGUGAAAUACGUAGAGAUUGGGAAGAACACCAGUGGCGAAGGCGGCUAUCUGGACGGUUUCUGACGCUAAGACGCGAAAGCGUGGGGAGCAAACAGGAUUAGAAACCCUAGUAGUCCGAAGUUC
RNAcentral lists this ribosomal RNA (458 nucleotides) under uncultured bacterium. Its description in RNAcentral is "bacterial SSU rRNA". It matches the Rfam family "Bacterial small subunit ribosomal RNA", at positions 328 to 802 of the family's 1533-position model. The record is from RNAcentral.